GAUGAAGAACGCAGCGAAGUGCGAUAAGUAAUGUGAAUUGCAGAAUUCCGUGAAUCAUCGAAUCUUUGAACGCAAAUUGCACUCUUUGGUAUUCCGAAGAGUAUGCCUGUUUGAGGGUCAGUUAAAUAAAAAUCGGUGUUGUUGCUGCCUUUCGUGGUGACGCUUCGGAUUUGGGUCGUCUUACCUUCGGUUAAGUGACCUAAAAUUUAGCAUGAUUUUUCGAACGUAUUUAAAUUAUUUACGUACGUUUGUGAUAUCGAAUAUAUAUUAGAUGUGGUCAUUCUCGUGAUUCGCGUCUAUAAUUUUUUGUAAAAUGACCUCAAAUCAGGUAAGAGUACCCGCUGAACUUAAGCAUAUCAAUAAGCGGAGGA
This 371-nucleotide unclassified non-coding RNA is filed under the name soil metagenome. RNAcentral describes it as "partial contains 5.8S ribosomal RNA, internal transcribed spacer 2, and large subunit ribosomal RNA". The stretch from base 1 to 120 matches the Rfam family "5.8S ribosomal RNA", at positions 35 to 154 of the family's 154-position model. The record is from RNAcentral.